RNAcentral lists this ribosomal RNA (512 nucleotides) under uncultured bacterium. Its description in RNAcentral is "bacterial SSU rRNA". It matches the Rfam family "Bacterial small subunit ribosomal RNA", at positions 28 to 525 of the family's 1533-position model. The record is from RNAcentral.
GACGAACGCUGGCGGCGUGCCUAUUACAUGCAAGUCGAGCGGACCAAAGGGAGCUUGCUCCUGGAGGUCAGCGGCGAACGGGUGAGUAACACGUGGGCAACCUGCCUGUAAGACUGGGAUAACAUCGAGAAAUCGGUGCUAAUACCGGAUAAUAAAAAGAACUGCAUGGUUCUUUUUGUAAAGAUGGUUUCGGCUAUCACUUACAGAUGGGCCGCGGCGCAUUAGCUAGUUGGUGAGGUAACGGCUCACCAAGGCAACGAUGCGUAGCCGACCUGAGAGGUGAUCGGCCACACUGGGACUGAGACACGGCCCAGACUCCUACGGGAGGCAGCAGUAGGGAAUCUUCCGCAAUGGACGAAAGUCUGACGGAGCAACGCCGCGUGAGUGAUGAAGGUUUUCGGAUCGUAAAACUCUGUUGUUAGGGAAGAACAAGUGCCGUUCGAAAGGGCGGCACCUUGACGGUACCUAACGAGAAAGCCACGGCUAACUACGUGCCAGCAGCCGCGGUAAAG